ACAAACAAAUAUAAAACGAGUAUGGAUCUCCACUAUCAUUGUCGCUAUACUUGAACUCGCCUUAAUUCUAUAUUGUAAUAUUAGUUUCUACUGUGGAUAUGACCUCUGUAGAGGACAAGAUAUGAAAAGUUAUAUUUGAAUGGUUCGGACACAUGAAGAAGAUUAUGACCUGGUAAGGCGGUGUAAAAGAUUGGUCUUGGAGGGUCUAAGGAGAGGUAGAGGUAGGCGAAGAUGAUCAUGAAGCAAGACAUGGUGAUACUCCAGCUUAUCGAGGAUAUGACCCUUGAUAGAAUAUGUAAAAGGUCGAGAAAUAAGUAGAAGGUUAAGUAGUCUGAGCGUUUUAAUUUCUUUGUUUAUACCAGUAGUGCACUACCUACUGUAAUCGUGUAUU
This 391-nucleotide long non-coding RNA is filed under the name Nicotiana benthamiana. RNAcentral describes it as "long non-coding RNA (NBEN_LNC016125)". The record is from RNAcentral. Lineage: Eukaryota; Viridiplantae; Streptophyta; Magnoliopsida; Solanales; Solanaceae.